CGGAAUUAUUGGGCGUAAAGCGCGCGCAGGCGGAUUGGUCAGUCUGUCUUAAAAGUUCGGGGCUUAACCCCGUGAUGGGAUGGAAACUGCCAAUCUAGAGUAUCGGAGAGGAAAGUGGAAUUCCUAGUGUAGCGGUGAAAUGCGUAGAUAUUAGGAAGAACACCAGUGGCGAAGGCGACUUUCUGGACGAAAACUGACGCUGAGGCGCGAAAGCCAGGGGAGCGAACGGGAUUAGAUACCCCGGUAGUCCUGGCCGUAAACGAUGGGUACUAGGUGUAGGAGGUAUCGACCCCUUCUGUGCCGGAGUUAACGCAAUAAGUACCCCGCCUGGGGAGUACGACCGCAAGGUUGAAACUCAAAGGAAUUGACGGGGGCCCGCACAAGCGGUGGAGUAUGUGGUUUAAUUCGACGCAACGCGAAGAACCUUACCAGGUCUUGACAU
Molecule: ribosomal RNA, 442 nt
Filed under: uncultured bacterium
Lineage: Bacteria
Description: bacterial SSU rRNA
Rfam family: Bacterial small subunit ribosomal RNA
Source: RNAcentral